UUUGACGAGGGAUCCUAGCGUUGUUUGGAAUUAUUGGGCGUAAAGCGGAUGUAGGUGGCUUUGUAAGUUAGAUGUGAAAGCCCAGGGCUCAACCCUGGAAGUGCAUUUGAUACUGUGAAGCCUGAGUGUUGGAGAGGUUACUAGAAUUGUUGGUGUAGUGGUGAAAAAAGUAGAUAUCAACAGGAAUACCGGAGGGGAGGGGGGGUAACCGGCCGAACACUGACACUGAGAUCCGAAAGCGUGGGGAUCAAACAGGAUUAGAUACCCCGGUAGUCCACGCCGUAAACGAGGGAUACUUGUUGUUGGAGGUAUUGACCCCUUCAGUGACGAAGCUAACGCGUUAAGUAUCCCGCCUGGGGAGUACGGUCGCAAGAUUAAAACUCAAAGAAAUUGACGGGGGCCCGCACAAGCGGUGGAGCAUGUGGUUAAUCGAUGCAUCGC
RNAcentral lists this ribosomal RNA (441 nucleotides) under Bdellovibrio bacteriovorus. Its description in RNAcentral is "bacterial SSU rRNA". It matches the Rfam family "Bacterial small subunit ribosomal RNA", at positions 521 to 962 of the family's 1533-position model. Lineage: Bacteria; Pseudomonadati; Bdellovibrionota; Bdellovibrionia; Bdellovibrionales; Pseudobdellovibrionaceae. The record is from RNAcentral.